RNAcentral lists this ribosomal RNA (440 nucleotides) under uncultured bacterium. Its description in RNAcentral is "partial 16S ribosomal RNA". It matches the Rfam family "Bacterial small subunit ribosomal RNA", at positions 338 to 795 of the family's 1533-position model. The record is from RNAcentral.
CCUACGGGUGGCAGCAGUGGGGAAUAUUGCACAAUGGGGGAAACCCUGAUGCAGCGACGCCGCGUGAGUGAAGAAGUAUUUCGGUAUGUAAAGCUCUAUCAGCAGGGAAGAAAAUGACGGUACCUGAUUAAGAAGCCCCGGCUACCUACGGGCCAGCAGCCGCGGUAAUACGUAGGGGGCAAGCGUUAUCCGGAUUUACUGGGUGGAAAGGGAGCAUAGACGGUAGCACCAGUCUGGAGUGAAAGGCCGGGGCUUAACCCCGGAACUGCUUUGGAAACUGUGCAGCUAGAGUGCAGGAGGGGUAAGUGGAAUUCGUGGUGUAGCGGUGAAAUGCGUAGAUAUUAGGAGGAACACCAGUGGCGAAGGCGGCUUACUGGACUGUAACUGACGUUGAGGCUCGAAAGCGUGGGGAGCAAACAGGAUUAGAUACCCCUGUAGUC